CAAUAGCGUAUAUUUAAGUUGCUGCAGUUAAAAAGCUCGUAGUUGGAUUUCGGGUGGGAAUGGCCGGUCCGCCGUUUCGGUGUGCACUUGCUACGCCCACCUUGCUGCCGGGGACGUGCUCUUGAGUUCACGCUCGGGACACGGAGUCGGCGAGGUUACUUUGAGUAAAUUAGAGUAUUCAAAGCAGGCCUACGCUCUGAAUACAUUAGCAUGGAAUAACACGAUAGGACUCUGGCCUAUCUUGUUGGUCUGUAGGACCGGAGUAAUGAUUAAGAGGGACAGUCGGGGGCAUUCGUAUUUCAUUGUCAGAGGUGAAAUUCUUGGAUUUAUGAAAGACGAACUACUGCGAAAGCAUUUGCCAAGGAUGUUUUCAUUAA
Molecule: ribosomal RNA, 377 nt
Filed under: uncultured eukaryote
Lineage: Eukaryota
Description: partial 18S ribosomal RNA
Rfam family: Eukaryotic small subunit ribosomal RNA
Source: RNAcentral